ACUCCUGCGGGAGGCAGCAGUGGGGAAUUUUGGACAAUGGGCGAAAGCCUGAUCCAGCAAUGCCGCGUGAGUGAAGAAGGCCUUCGGGUUGUAAAGCUCUUUUGUCAGGGAAGAAACGGUGAAAGCUAAUAUCUUUUGCUAAUGACGGUACCUGAAGAAUAAGCACCGGCUAACUACGUGCCAGCAGCCGCGGUAAUACGUAGGGUGCAAGCGUUAAUCGGAAUUACUGGGCGUAAAGCGUGCGCAGGCGGUUUUGUAAGUCUGAUGUGAAAUCCCCGGGCUCAACCUGGGAAUUGCAUUGGAGACUGCAAGGCUAGAAUCUGGCAGAGGGGGGUAGAAUUCCACGUGUAGCAGUGAAAUGCGUAGAUAUUUGGAGGAACACCGAUGGCGAAGGCAGCCCCCUGGGUCAAGAUUGACGCUCAUGCACGAAAGCGUGGGGAGCAAACAGGAUUAGAUACCCUGGUAGUCCCAU
This 472-nucleotide ribosomal RNA is filed under the name uncultured organism. RNAcentral describes it as "partial 16S ribosomal RNA". It matches the Rfam family "Bacterial small subunit ribosomal RNA", at positions 335 to 798 of the family's 1533-position model. The record is from RNAcentral.